UGUGAAAGGGACCUCGCUCUAGAAAAGCAGCCCACAACUGCCUCAGCUCUCAGAGGAGGCUGAGCUUCUAACAGGACUUGUCUGAGAGUGGACUCGGCUGUCUGUCCAUCCUACAUGGAGCCAAAACGGAUCAGGGAGGGCUACCUUGUGAAGAGGGGAAGUGUGUUCAACACCUGGAAACCCAUGUGGGUUGUGCUGUUAGAAGAUGGAAUUGAAUUCUAUAAGAAGAAAAGUGACAACAGCCCCAAAGGAAUGAUUCCCCUGAAAGGAAGUACACUGACCAGCCCUUGUCAAGACUUUGGCAAAAGGAUGUUUGUGUUUAAGAUCACUACGACCAAACAGCAGGACCACUUCUUCCAGGCAGCCUUCCUGGAGGAGAGAGAUGCCUGGGUUCGGGACAUCAAGAAGGCCAUUAAAUGCAUUGAAGGAGGUCAAAAGUUUGCAAGGAAGUCCACCAGGAGGUCCAUUCGACUGCCAGAAACCGUUGACUUAGGUGCCUUGUAUCUGUCCAUGAAAGAUAUGGAGAAAGGAAUAAAAGAGCUGAAUCUAGAGAAGGACAAGAAGAUUUUUAAUCACUGCUUCACAGGUAACUGUGUCAUCGAUUGGCUGGUGUCCAAUAAGUCUGUUCGGAAUCGCCAGGAAGGCCUCAUGAUUGCCUCCUCACUGCUCGGUGAAGGGUACCUGCAGCCCGCUGGGGAACUGUCCAAGAAUGCAGCAGAUGGAACUGCUGAAAACCCUUUCCUGGACAACGCUGAUGCCUUUUAUUACUUUCCAGACAGCGGGUUCUUCUGUGAAGAGAAUUCCAGUGAUGAUGAUGUGAUUCUGAAAGAAGAAUUCAGAGGGGUCAUUAUCAAGCAGGGGUGUUUACUGAAGCAGGGGCACAGGAGGAAAAACUGGAAAGUGAGGAAGUUCAUUCUGAGAGAAGACCCUGCCUACCUGCACUAUUAUGACCCAGCCGGGGGGGAAGAUCCUCUGGGAGCAAUUCACUUGAGAGGCUGCGUCGUGACUUCAGUGGAGAGCAACCCAGAUGCAGUCAGGAAGAGUGAAGAGGAGAACCUCUUUGAGAUCAUCACUGCUGAUGAAGUUCAUUAUUUCUUGCAAGCGGCCACCCCCAAGGAGCGCACUGAGUGGAUCAAAGCCAUCCAGGUGGCCUCCCGGACUGGGAAGUGAGAAUAUUUCUGCAGCUCAUCGUCGCUCUCCUAAGGGUACCCCACGGAUAAGCUCGGUCUGGGACUGUCCACUUCUGGUGACACAUCAAUGAGAAAGGGCCCAGGGUUGGGAAAUUUUUGUCUGCAGAGGUUCUGAAUGUAGCUAACCACAUGCUGUGUCCUGUUCACCAGCGCCAACCACAUUGCUCACUGAAGCCUCUCUGUGUCCCCCAAGCAGAUGUAACAAGCUGUGCGGCCUGGCCUCACUGCUUCAUCUCUCCAGGCCCAAGCUUCAAAACCAAAAGCCCUGGGAUUCUAAUACCCAUGGAAGUGAAAGUGUCUCUAGUCACCCAGUAAGUGCGUGCCACUCUUAGGCUUCAUCUUGGCCCUUGGAUCCCGACACAUUCUUCCCUUUAAAUCUGUCCCUAAUCGGUACUAAGGGGACUAGGCAUAAACCUCUUGUUCUCAUUUGCCACCUUCUCUUGCUCUUGGCCAUUAGAUCAUGUAUCAUGAAGGAGAACUUUCUUCUUCCUUCCUCACUCAGACCAGAAAUUUCCUCAUAGCCAGUGCCCCAGGGUUGGCUUUUAGGUUGAAGCCUUCUAUCACUUACUACAGCCUGGAAAGUUCUAUCUUCUGGGAAAAUGACCCAAGGAAGCCAGGAAUAGCCGAGGGUCUUUUCUGUGCCCUGAAGCCAUCCAGAGCAGGCAUAUUCCCCUCCCACUUGAGGCUGAUGUGAGACGGGUGUAUCUUUGUCCCUUUCUGGAGCAUUUCUCUACCAUUGAUUGUAAUUAGGAGGGGGAACUCCAAAUCUUUGAGGUUCUGUUUUGAUUGAAUGUUUGCAGGAAAAAGUGGUCAGAUGGGUUCCCUCCAUGGGUUUCUUUCUUGGGUGAAGGGCUUGGGGGCUGGCUGGCUGGUGUACCGCCCCCCCCAACCCCCAUUCCAGCGGCUGCAGGGGCUGGACUGAAGACUGGCAGACUGGAUGAUGGGCUUAUACAAAGCACUGAGAUGACUUAAGUCUAGACAGAACUCCUGGAGGUGGCCGUCCACACUGCAGUGCCUCCAGUUCCACGGUCAGCGAUACUCUGGUUGUCCUGAGCUUUAGGCCCAAGCUGUAGCUGCUCUUGCUUGGCCUCUGCAGGGCCUCAUGAACCCAUUACCAACCAGAGCGAUCUGACCCAGUUUCAUAUUGGGUACCUGUUUUCAACCUUCGACCCUGUCCACCAACUAGUGAUUCUACCCCCAAUUUGAGAAAAACCCCAGGUAUGUGUGUGAAGGUGCAUUUUUUCAGUUUCAGAUUUCUAACUUUAAGGCUCUAGUGAGAAAAGGAGAGCAGAAAAUUCUUCCUGAUUUUAUCACCUCCUCUCUUUCCCUCCCCCCAUUUCACAUAAUACCCAUGAGGCUAUUCCUACUCCCAGAUUGUUUUCUUAAUGGACUAGGGGUAAAAGAUUACCUUUCCUCUGAUUCUUUAGUAAGCUGUCUUCUUAGAUCAUGCGCAAUAGUUUUUCUACAUUCAGUGUUAAAAGUAUUUAUUAAUAUGGAGUCAACUUUAUGUUUUGAAAUAAACAUGACCGUGUUUAGCGUC
This is an RNA transcript of Ailuropoda melanoleuca (giant panda), 2730 nucleotides long. It is a transcript of the gene named pleckstrin, with no coding region annotated. The transcript is spliced from 10 exons. Lineage: Eukaryota; Metazoa; Chordata; Mammalia; Carnivora; Ursidae. The record is from RefSeq and is a predicted model, not a curated record.